CCUACGGGGAGCUGCAGUGGGGAAUAUUGGACAAUGGGCGAAAGCCUGAUCCAGCCAUGCCGCGUGUGUGAAGAAGGCCUUCGGGUUGUAAAGCACUUUCAGUGGGGAAGAAAGCCUUGGGGCUAAUACCCUCGAGGAAGGACAUCACCCACAGAAGAAGCACCGGCUAACUCCGUGCCAGCAGCCGCGGUAAUACGGAGGGUGCGAGCGUUAAUCGGAAUUACUGGGCGUAAAGCGCGCGUAGGCGGUCUGAUAAGCCGGUUGUGAAAGCCCCGGGCUCAACCUGGGAACGGCAUCCGGAACUGUCAGGCUAGAGUGCAGGAGAGGAAGGUAGAAUUCCCGGUGUAGCGGUGAAAUGCGUAGAGAUCGGGAGGAAUACCAGUGGCGAAGGCGGCCUUCUGGACUGACACUGACGCUGAGGUGCGAAAGCGUGGGUAGCAAACAGGAUUAGAUACCCUAGUAGCC
This 465-nucleotide ribosomal RNA is filed under the name Vreelandella stevensii. RNAcentral's name for it is "partial 16S ribosomal RNA". It matches the Rfam family "Bacterial small subunit ribosomal RNA", at positions 338 to 795 of the family's 1533-position model. Lineage: Bacteria; Pseudomonadati; Pseudomonadota; Gammaproteobacteria; Oceanospirillales; Halomonadaceae. The record is from RNAcentral.